This 577-nucleotide ribosomal RNA is filed under the name Aspergillus brunneouniseriatus. RNAcentral's name for it is "eukaryotic LSU rRNA". It matches the Rfam family "Eukaryotic large subunit ribosomal RNA", at positions 58 to 648 of the family's 3401-position model. The record is from RNAcentral. Lineage: Eukaryota; Fungi; Ascomycota; Eurotiomycetes; Eurotiales; Aspergillaceae.
AAAGAAACCAACCGGGAUUGCCUCAGUAACGGCGAGUGAAGCGGCAAAAGCUCAAAUUUGAAAUCUGGCCCCUUCGGGGUCCGAGUUGUAAUUUGCAGAGGAUGCUUCGGGUGUGGCCCCUGUCUAAGUGCCCUGGAACGGGCCGUCAUAGAGGGUGAGAAUCCCGUAUGGGAUGGGGUGCCCACGCCCGUGUGAAGCUCCUUCGACGAGUCGAGUUGUUUGGGAAUGCAGCUCUAAAUGGGUGGUAAAUUUCAUCUAAAGCUAAAUACUGGCCGGAGACCGAUAGCGCACAAGUAGAGUGAUCGAAAGAUGAAAAGCACUUUGAAAAGAGAGUUAAACAGCACGUGAAAUUGUUGAAAGGGAAGCGCUUGCGACCAGACUCGCCCGCGGGGUUCAGCCGGCAUUCGUGCCGGUGUACUUCCCCGUGGGCGGGCCAGCGUCGGUUUGGGCGGCCGGUCAAAGGCCUCCGGAAUGUACCGCCUCUUCGGGGGCGACUUAUAGCCGGGGGUGCAAUGCGGCCUGCCUGGACCGAGGAACGCGCUUCGGCUCGGACGCUGGCAUAAUGGUCGUAAGCGAC